This 30-nucleotide non-coding RNA is filed under the name Homo sapiens (human). The record is from RNAcentral. Lineage: Eukaryota; Metazoa; Chordata; Mammalia; Primates; Hominidae.
UCACCAACAACAGUCAGCCAGCUUGGUGGU